Molecule: transfer-messenger RNA, 406 nt
Filed under: Muribaculaceae
Lineage: Bacteria; Pseudomonadati; Bacteroidota; Bacteroidia; Bacteroidales
Also listed under: 1 other name
Description: Duncaniella sp002494015 Standard tmRNA
Rfam family: transfer-messenger RNA
About the family: Bacterial tmRNA, also known as 10Sa RNA or SsrA, is named for its dual tRNA and mRNA-like properties. Its role is to liberate the mRNA from a stalled ribosome.
Source: RNAcentral
GGGGAUGACCGGUUUUGACAGCGUGUAAACACGGCAAGCAAGCAUGCAGAGCUUUGAUGUGCAAGCUCUAUAAUCACAACGCAUCGACCUAUAAUUGGCGAAAAUAACAACUACGCUCUCGCUGCGUAAUCUGAAGUACAGUAGGAUAGCUUAAUCGGUGCCACAGUGGCACUGACGAGACAUCACCCCAUUGCCCCCGUUCCGAGACGUUUGGAAAAGGUGGUGCUAAGAAAAUCGGAAAUUGGCUGCGAGUUCGCUCCGGCAAGCAGCUGAAAUAUUUGGAGAUAAGCCGCCGGUUGGUAGUCGUGAGCCUGCCGACGGUCGAAAACCAAGUCAAUGACUAAGCAUGUAGAAAACCUGUUGGGUUCACGUUUGGACGAGGGUUCAAAUCCCUCCAUCUCCACUU